Molecule: long non-coding RNA, 986 nt
Filed under: Marmota monax (woodchuck)
Lineage: Eukaryota; Metazoa; Chordata; Mammalia; Rodentia; Sciuridae
Source: RNAcentral
CCUUGCCCCCGUAAUAGCCACACAACCCUUACCACAGACUACUGUUACUGCCGUUUACCGGUAAUGCGUCCUUGCUUCCCCGAAUGCUGAAGUAUAACACAAGAGAAGCAAGCGGAGGCAAGUGUAGAGUGGAAAGUGGAAGGCUUUAUUAAAGGACAGCAGAAAAGGCUUCUCCCAGGACGAAGAAGGGGACCCGAAAGGGAGAAUUCGUGGAAGGGGGAAGUCUUCCCUUUUGUAUAGCUAAGGUCUUCUUUUAGUCCUCCCACAUUCCUAUCCUUUGUUUCCCUCUGUCCUGCAGCUAUAGAAUGCAGGUGGGAAGGACAAAAGGUGGGAGAUGAUGGACUGGAGGAGUAAUCUGGACAGGAAAAGCCUGGGGUGGUUUGAUUAACAUUUCCCUGUUUGCUAGGAGCUGAUUCAUUAACAUUUCCUUAGGAUGGGUUCCGAGUUUUGGGGUCAUUAACAUUUCAAUUUCCCCAAGUGCUGCUCUGCUUUCCUGGUCUCCAUUUUCUUUAUCUUUUUCUAUAUUAGACCCGAUUUACCUAACUACACUAACUACCUAUCUGUAAAUCUGGCUUCACUACUUCCUUGGGGGCAUCCAAGGCAUUCCUGCUCCCUGAACCCUCUCAAACCCCUGGCACCUGCUCCACACAAACACCCCCCCCCCCGUGUGCCCAGUGAUCUCCUCUUCUAAGUGGCUCACUGGGCAAUCUGUGCUCAAGGCCUACCAUAGGGUCACUUGUGGAAAGGGACCAGGAGGUAGGUCAUGAACCCACUUUCAGAGUGUACUGAGGCAGUCCUGGGUCACGAAGCCCUCCUGGUUUUUAGGAACACUGGGUGCUUGUGACAUGAAUUGAAGCAUGUGUGUUUGUGUGUAUCCCACUAAUGGAGGAGAGGACUCCUGGUUUCUCUGGAAAACGAUGUCCCACUAAUGGGAGGGGGGAAGUCCCUGAUUCCUCUGGUUGUUAUAGAUAGACUUUGGUGCCAGG